This 253-nucleotide ribosomal RNA is filed under the name uncultured bacterium. Its description in RNAcentral is "partial 16S ribosomal RNA". It matches the Rfam family "Bacterial small subunit ribosomal RNA", at positions 524 to 776 of the family's 1533-position model. The record is from RNAcentral.
UACGGAGGGUGCAAGCGUUAUCCGGAUUUACUGGGUUUAAAGGGUGUGUAGGCGGACUUUUAAGUCAGCGGUGAAAUCUCCGGGCUCAACCCGGAAACUGCCAUUGAUACUAUUGGUCUUGAAUAUUGUUGAGGUGGGCGGAACGGGUCAUGUAGCGGUGAAAUGCAUAGAUAUGACCCGGAACACCGAUUGCGAAGGCAGCCCACUAAGCAAUGAUUGACGCUGAGGCACGAAAGCGUGGGGAUCAAACAGG